GACCGAAAAAUAUAUACUUUCUUAAACAAAACAAGCUUUGCUACGUCCACUCAAGCUGACGAUCAAACCUUGCUGGGCGAAUUCCCUACACCCAGAGUGCCCAUCACUCAUUAUGAUGUAAUUCCGUCCCCCUCUAACAUAGAGACUUUUCUAAUCUUAGUAACUAGCGGGUUACACUAGCGGGUGCACGGCUAGAUGUGCAUAAUGUAAUGUUUUGUGUUUUCGCUCUCUAAGAGAUACAUUUUGCAUUCAAUUUAUACCAAUUGUAUUUGGAACUGUUCAUUGAUUUUUUUUUUGAAAAAUUGUUUAUUUAUAUUUUUGACCUACCAAAAUAUAUCGUUAUUUAUUUGUUUUUGUUGAUAUAUGUUCGGAAUGAUAAGAUCGAAUGUUAUGAAUGCGCAUAUGAGCUUAGAAUCAUAAUACAAUCUAUUUUAGAUUAGAUACUCAUUACAUGUUUUACUGAGAGAGUUUUAUUUUAUUAACAUCGUGUGCGAUAGAAAAGUGUUGAACUUAUAUUGGAACAUAUGUGUUUUUAGUUUUGUUACAAUCUGCAUGUCAAAUUUUCAUUUUAGACAUAUUGAUUAUAAACGUUUAGAUUAUCGGUGGAUAAUGCAGUAUGCACUGAUUUUUAUCAACCCAAUUUAUGACAUGGAAAUCCUCCUUAUUUUGACAUAUUGUCUCUCGUAUUAUUUUUUUGCUUCUGACGGCCGAUAGCGAUAGAUGUUCGAGUUCAGGUGUCUAAUGUGCAAUCAUGGGUUUGGGUGCACUUUGCUUCUUACUUGGGUUUUCGUUGGAAGCGUGCUACCGCCGGCCUGCAGAUGUUGACGCAUGCAUGAAUUCGGCGACCGUGCAUAUGUUGAUAUAUGGAAGCUGAAUGUCUUAGCUAGUCAAGUUUUUUCAUCAGAUACACAUCGCAUCUAAGCCAUGUUGUUUCUUUUUUAUUUCAUUUUCAAGAUUUGUCCCCAUUCAGUAUCAAGUCAUUUUACUAAACGUCUCAUAUGAGGUAUGAUUGUCGCAUGGCAGAACGUCACCGGCAGUUGGAGUAGUUGGUUCUAACUUGUCUUUUUCGUUGUAGUCUUAAGGUCUCAAACAUAUGAUAAAUUUGCAUAAUUUUGAAUUCUCCUCUUUUUUUUCAUCAUUUUUUAAAUUGGUUCAUAGAUUCAAAAUACGGGUGUGUUUGCUUUCCACUUGGUUUCACGGCUACAACCUGAAAGCCGUGUACCGGCACCCGAUAUGGUCGAUCCGAAUACGGACGUUACGCCUGGCUAUGGAUAAUACAUUUUUUGCUUGUGUCCAAUGAGUUUCGUAUUUCAAAACAAAAAUAAUCCUAACCAUUAAAACCUGAAAUCAAU
RNAcentral lists this long non-coding RNA (1352 nucleotides) under Brachypodium distachyon (stiff brome). Its description in RNAcentral is "long non-coding RNA (BDIS_LNC002709)". Lineage: Eukaryota; Viridiplantae; Streptophyta; Magnoliopsida; Poales; Poaceae. The record is from RNAcentral.